Molecule: non-coding RNA, 1777 nt
Organism: Phascolarctos cinereus (koala)
Lineage: Eukaryota; Metazoa; Chordata; Mammalia; Diprotodontia; Phascolarctidae
Source: RefSeq, a predicted model, not a curated record
GAUGAAGAGAGUAAGCACAGCUGUACGUGAGAGCUUUCUAUGAACGUCAGCGAGGGUAAACACGCAUUUGGUAUAUCUGAUUUGUUCCUACUGCCAAACUACAUUCAUCUUCUUGGUUAUAGAGCCAUACUUGGAGUCAGGAAGAUUUUGGUUCAAAUCCUACCUUAGACCCUUCCUAACUCUGUGACCCUGGGUAAGUCAUUCACCUGAGUCUCCAUUUUGCAGUCUGAAAGCUGGGGUUACAGGUUGUUGUGAGAAUCUAGUACAUAAAAUGCUUUGUAAACUUUGAAGUGCGAUGUAAACGUCAGCUGGAUCCGCUCAGGGCUUCUUCAGUUUCUCCUUGAACCAACUUGAAUCAACUCCUGUUGAGUUCAUUCUCUCUCUCUCAGUGCCUCUGCCCCUCAGUCUGGUGGAUUAAUCCUGGAGGGCUUCCCUCUGACCCUCCCUUCUCCCACUCAUGCACAACUGCAUUGUGCUGAUUGUAGCCCCAACACUCUGGUGUCUGCUCCCUCUCCUCCAUUUCCACUGCCAAUACUCUGCUGCGAGCCAACCUUCUCACCCACCAGGACCCAGCUGGCAAUAAUCCCCAAGCAGGUCUUCCAGCCUUUUCUCUAUAUCCCCUCUCCAAUGCAUAAGGUUGCCAGAGAGACUUUCAGCCAAGAUGGCUGCCUCAAUGGGAGGUAGACCACCCACCUCCCGGAUGUCGACUCCAGCAAAACCCUGCUGUUCCCACCUGAUUGAAUAAUGAUUGAGAAAUUCAACGAGAAACAGCUUCUUUCACUCCAAAACCACACAAGAGGUCAGCCAGAAGCCCAUGGGAAAUAGGAAAGGGGGACACAAGCCAGCAAUCUCCCAGCCUGACCAGAGACACUUGGAGCCUGCCAGGAUUUGUGUCCAGAGGCAGGCAAGAGCGGAGGCUCCCACAUGGUCAAAAAGCCCUAGAGUGAGAUCCCUCAAAAGAAGAAGAGAAUAGCACUGAAAUAACUGCCAGCAGAGAUUCAAAGGAAAUAACAUGGAUUUAUUCACAAGAAGUACAUGAAUACCUAAAGAAAUGAAUUACAAGAGAGAGCCAGUCGUUAAAUAUUUUACAGCAUAACCUUGAAUAUAAUGCUAACAUCCUAACAGAGGAAGAGGAAACAAGUGUCCCUUCAGGAUCUUAAUGUCCUCUAAGGGUAUUGGGUGAGUUAAAUGAGAAAAACGGAGGAUCUAGGGAGUGCAUUGGCUCUGUUCUGGGGGUUUGAAUAAGGAAAAUACAACAGUGGGUAAAAAGAAGAAAUAGCAUAGAAAGAAGGAAGAAGGGGGUGGAACUUGCUAUUUCUCAUAAUUUGGGUAUGUGAGAAGCACCUGGAGAAAGGCUAGUACUAUGGGAGCUGUGCAGCUUCUCUUGGAUAGGCCUUCUUUAGGGACCAAGAUCUCCCCACAGACAAUCAGGGAAAUGUUGUAGACUCUGAUUCAUGGGGGGACCUUCCUCCAUUAGUAGAUGGCAACUACCCUAUGACAUAGCUACUGAGUCUUAGGGAGCUAGAAGGAGGUAAAGCACCUCACAAGCUUUAAAGCAACAUCAAUAGUCAGUUAUUACUACUGCCUACAAGGGUCACCCAACUAGUAAUUGACAGAGGCAGAAUGUUAACCCAGGUCUUGAUUGAUUCCAAAUUCAACAAUCUAUCCACUAAAGCUAAGCCAUAUUGCUUCCAUAUUGUUGCAUUCUCUACAAAUUCAAUGUUUACAAAUGUAAUUGUCUUUUUUUUAAAGAAAAUUUUAAGCCCUGAGACAUACA